Molecule: long non-coding RNA, 1156 nt
Filed under: Capra hircus (goat)
Lineage: Eukaryota; Metazoa; Chordata; Mammalia; Artiodactyla; Bovidae
Description: lncRNA (ENSCHIG00010000822.1)
Source: RNAcentral
CUCUAUUAAGUUGGGAAUAUAACAGUCAAUGAAAAUAGAAAGGGUUCUUAUGCUCUGAAAGAUUACAUAUUAACAGAAAAGGCAUAGAUUAAUAAAAAUAUAACACCCACACAGAAAGGCACCAAGUUAUUGUAAACAUAGACACACAAGUAUAAAUAAAGGUAACUAUAUAUAUAAAAUUUAAAAGACAUUAUCAGUGUGAUGAUGGAAAAGUCCUCUCUUUUAUGACAAGUAUAUACUUAGUCUGGAGGAACGAGUAAUGAUUUUUAAAGAUGUGGUAUUUGAUUGUAAUUAUGUGAGGAGGUGUUAACCAACCUUAUGUGGCAAUCAUUUUGCAAUAUAUAUGUGUAUCAAAUAUCAUGUUGUGCAUUUAAAAUAUAUGCAAUAUUAGUCGAUUUUAACUCAGAAAGAUAUCUGAACAGCAUAGAGGAGUGUAGAGGCGAUAAACAGAAAGGCAUCAGGAGCAGUCAGUACAGAGGCAUAGCAGAGAGAGAAAGUGACCAAGAUAGCACAGAGGCCUGCGGCCCCAAGGGAAGCAUCGCAGAUGGCUGGCUGAGGCACACUUGCAUCAUUCAGAGCCUUUUCUUUCCCAUUACCUGUAAAACACUAGAAGAAUAAUGUAAAGCAAAUAAAAUUCUGGAUGGUUUCCCAUAGUGAUUUUAAAGUCGAUGACAUUCUAGGGUUAUUACCAUCUACCGUCUUAAGUACCUAAAACAAAUGAUAAUUAAAAAACACUGGUUUGCCAAGAAUAAUUUAGAAUAAGAUAAUCUGAAUUUUUAAAAAUUUUACCUUUCUGAGAUGAGGUCAGAAAUGCAUGUCCUCAAAUGAUUAAUGAAAACUAUAUUGAAUAGGUAAACAUUUUAUAAAAUGUAGCUAAAUAUUUUAAUUACUACAUCCAAAUUAAUAUUUUUGAGAGUUCUCUAUUGUGUGUUUGGUUCAAAUAGUCUUGUAGAAAUUAUUUUUAUUUUGUGUUUUGACUGUCUAAAGAAUGAAUUAUUAGGCUUUACAUUUGAGCUAUGAUAUAAUUGACUAAAUAGAAAUCUUUUAAAAUUUCUAUGGUAUCUUGCAAUGUCAUCAGAAAUGUAAAUAAAACAGAGAAGAAAAAUUGCUAUAGAAAUGUUUGGACUCUAAAGAGCUGUUUGCUUUUAUAUCUGAU